Molecule: long non-coding RNA, 3237 nt
Filed under: Equus caballus (horse)
Lineage: Eukaryota; Metazoa; Chordata; Mammalia; Perissodactyla; Equidae
Description: lncRNA (ENSECAG00000051164.1)
Source: RNAcentral
UUUGUCAGUGAAAGGAGAGGAACUUUAUUUAGAGACCUGAGGCAGAGAGGAAAAAUCAAUGAUGAUUAUGGUGGUCUUGGGCCUGCACCAAAAGAGGUUUUUCUUUUCACUGGCCAUGGAAGAAAACACGAUGUGGAAAAACAUGGAUUCAAGCAGCGGCUUCAACCAGAGCACUGACAUUUGCUGCUGACUAAAGAGACAAGAAUGAGAAAGUGUAAGAUUUAUGCUCAGGAGACUCAUGUGCUUUUCGUAUAGGGACCUCCCUGGCUCAGUUUCCCAGAGGUUCCAUCAAACAUAAGGUUUCAAAGAGUUUGAGAAACACACCUUCAAAAAGGUAGGUCCAAGGGCUAUGUCAACCUCUCUUCUGAAUGCACAAGAUUAGAAGGAGGCUCUCCAGCAUCAAGAAGACAAGUGAUGAACACAGAAAAUCUAGUUCUUUGCAGGAUUGGUGGGGAAGUGGGGGAAGAGCUGGUUUCUUGGGGGGAAGGAGGGAGUGCUAGGGAAAAGUGAGAGACAGUCUCUGGAAGGUGAAUGGAGAGCUGUGCUUUGACAAAGGUGUGACAUUUUGGAACAUUUGCCAAGCUAGGAUGACAAUUCCUCAGGUCUGAGAGUCUCUUGUAAUCAGAAAAUGUCAUCAAUACCUUGUCUUCCUGUUCCUGUUCUGGCAUAACUUCUUUGCUUUUUGUGUCUUUGGUAAAUCCUUCAGAUGGCAUGUUGAACACUUACAUCUAAGGGAUUUCACCAUCUUCUCACAUCCCCCAACUCUGGCCAGGAGCGGGGUUCUUGCUGUAACAGCAGCCUCUUUUGGUUCCCCCUCCCUCACUCCAAGUCCAUUUGUCCAAAGCAGCCCACUCAUACUCCCUUUAUAUAUGAAGACAGGUGGCCAUGACAUAGGCCCUCUUGCUAAAAGGACCUGAUGAUUGACGAUAACAUGUCAUAAUGGCUGAAAGUCAACAUGAGAGCCUGGUUGGGUGGUUGGGGAAUACUGAGACAUUUGAAUAAAAUCAAGAAAGCACUUACUAAAACUGCUAGAAUCUAGGUGGCUGCCCAACUGUAUAGCCCACAGGAACCACUCUGAACGAUACAAACCAAGUAAAAUUCUCCUGGCCUUUCAGGCAUAAGUCCAGCAUCUUCAAAGCCUUUACCUGCUGGCAUAUUUAGGAACCUAAUCGUCAAGUGCUCCACGGGGUCAGGAAAGGUGAGGACUGAAAAACAAGGUGAGGCUCCUCAAGUGCUCGCACAGUGCCUGACUCUUAGCAGGUUCCAGAUAAGUGUUAUGACUACCCCAAGUUUGGCAGCUCCAUCUUUGAACUCCUUCCCGUUACUUUGCAACUCCCCUGUUUCCUGAGUUUUCUUCUCUUCUCUCAGUCUGCUUCAGCUCUCUCCUCUGAAAAACCCAAAGGCUGAUAAAUCCCAUCAUUUUGUCCCUAGACCAUCACAUCUACUCCCAUAAAUUCAGCUACACAAAACUCUACUUUGCCAGUGCCCAAAUCCACAUUACCAGCCCCAGUUGCUCUUCUGAGCUAGUUACCUGUAUCGAAUUUGUCCUCUGGGCAUCUAAGUGGACAUUGGAUCUGUCCAGUAGACAUCUCAAUCUGUGCAAAACUAAAACCAAUACUUCCUGUCCAAAUAUAGCUCCUGUUCCGCUAUCCUCCUAGCAGUCAUUCACUCAGGGCAGAAGUCUAGGAUUCACACUUUCCCUUCAUGGCCCUCCACAUCUCAUCAGUCCCCCCAGUAUUUUAUAACUCAUCCCUUCUUCUCCAUCCCCACGACCGACUCGAGUUAGCCUCCUCUGGGCUUUGAUAAUCAAGUCUUUUGUUCAUCUCUCUGUUCAUAGUAAACAUUAAGUAAAAUAUGUCACCCUCCUAAGGGUGUCACCCACCUAAGAGAUGUGAUUCAUCUCCUUGUCUCUCCCUACCAUGGCAGCAAAUACAGCAGGAGACAUUGUGAACAAGUACUAAAAUUAAGUAGAUGUGGGCUUAAUUCCUAGCUCUGCUGUUCAGUAUUUAUGCAUCCUUGAGAAAUUUCCUGAAGCUCUGAGCCUGCAAGGAAGUAAAGUCCAACUCGGCACUUAGUUUCCUCAUUAGUAAAAUAACAGGAUUGCCAAUAAGUCCCUGUCCUUCUGGCUUUAACUAACAGAAGAUUUUUACGACCAGGAGAAGUGCAACAAUUUGCCCAAAUUUAGUAGAUUGUGAGGCUUGGAUCCAGAAAAUCAGUCUGACUAAAUGUUGAAGGAAGUCAUCCUGAGUCUCACUGCUCGGUCCUUCUGCUGUAGGUUUGGCUGCUGAUCUCAUAUAGACUUUGUGACAUCCCAGAUUGGGGAAGUCUAAGUAACAGUGGCCUAGUUUCUUUACAGGUGGCCCCCCACCCCCAUCCCCGUCUCAAGGCUCAGAAUACCAUCUUCAGGUAAAUGACCGGAAAGCCCGCAUGAAGCUUCUAACAUCUACCAGACUAAGUGCAACCACACCAGCAUACAGCAGCGAUGCCCCUCCCCCGGACUCGGUGGGCUUCCUGCAGGAGCAUCAGAGAAAGAAGAGCACCCCCAAGAAGAGCACAGAGCAGAAGGAGGCUUGCAAUGGCAUGAAGAAAAUGCCACUAUCACUAUUUCAGGACAGUGGUCCACUGAGGAAACAAAUAUUUCUGCCUGGUGACACAGUCCUUACCAGUACUCCAGGACAUCUCAGUGGCAUUACCUUCCGCAUUUCCCCCCAAAACAAAAAUAAGGCUGCCCAGUAUUGGGAGUUGCUUGACCAAUAAAAUCUUAUCACUGCAACACUCAAAGGAUCUGGGUCUUUAUUUGGUUCUUGCUGAAAAUGAAGGCUUUGUUUUGAAGAUUUUACUAGGCCAGUCAUCCCUGCUGACCCCGCGUAGAGUGUGUGCAGGGCAAAGUGUCACUAGAGCUUUGUGCUUUGGACCACAGAAUUCUAGGACUAGAAAAGGCAGUGAGGGAGUUACUUUUUCCCUGUCCUUAGUAUAAAUGCAACUAAAUCUACUUUUCCAAAUUUGAGAAUUCUGCCCGAAAGAACAAUAUGGAAACCAAAUAGGCAAUGAUAUUGUCAAGCAAGCCUUCUCUGUCUGUUUUUCAAGAUCCUCAAAAGACAAAGUGAAAUUAUUCUUGCCACCUAUCUCCUCUCCUUCACCCUCAACUGAGCACCAUUAACAGUGGGAAGUAGAGUGUCAGCAAAUCAAGUCAAAGAGCAACUGAGUUGUGAUCUUUCUUGACCCAACCUUGAUCAG